CACACGUGUUACAAUGGGGGGUACGAGAGGGCCGCUACCACGCGAGUGGAUGCCAAUCCCUAAAACCCCUCUCAGUUCGGACUGGAGUCUGCAACCCGACUCCACGAAGCUGGAUUCGCUAGUAAUCGCGCAUCAGCCACGGCGCGGUGAAUACGUUCCCGGGCCUUGUACACACCGCCCGUCAAGCCAUGGGAGCCGGGGGUACCUGAAGUGCGUAACCGCGAGGAUCGCCCUAGGGUAAAACUGGUGACUGGGGCUAAGUCGUAACAAGGUAAC
Molecule: ribosomal RNA, 276 nt
Filed under: uncultured bacterium
Lineage: Bacteria
Description: partial 16S ribosomal RNA
Rfam family: Bacterial small subunit ribosomal RNA
Source: RNAcentral